Molecule: ribosomal RNA, 1984 nt
Filed under: Kudoa corniculata
Lineage: Eukaryota; Metazoa; Cnidaria; Myxozoa; Multivalvulida; Kudoidae
Description: partial 28S ribosomal RNA
Rfam family: Eukaryotic large subunit ribosomal RNA
Source: RNAcentral
UUAAGCAUAUCAGUAAGCAGAGGAAAAGAAAACAACUGUGAUUCCCUUAGUAACUGCGAGUGAAGCGGGAAAAGCCCAUCGUUUAAUCUUCUCGGACCAUGGACGAGACGAAAUGUAACGGUACGGAUAGGUUCUCUACUAGUUUGAUCUAACCAAAGUCCUCCGGAUUGAGGUGCCAGAGAAGGUGACAGCCCUGUGUGUGGUCGGAUCAAACUAGGUAUGUGACCAAUUCUGAGAGUCGGGUUGUUUGGGACUGCAACCUAAAGUAGGUGGUAAACUCCACCCAAGGCUAAAUAUUGACACGAAACCGAUAGCGAACAAGUACUGUGAAGGAAAGUUGAAAAGAACUCUGAAAAGAGAGUUAAAAGUACGUGAAACCGCUAACGGGGAAGCGGAAGGCAGUGUCGAGAUUGAGUAAGUGAGUCGUUUCAAGUAUGCAUGUCUAAUCGCAUGUAUAUUUGUAGCGGCUAGCUUUGCUUGAUGCGUCAGGACUAUUGGCGUGCGAUGGUCAGUAUUAGUAUGGCAUUUACAACAUUUGAGACUUGUUUUGAGUGUGUAGGUGCGACUAAUUACCCACCUCGUGUACUGAUAGGAAUGUAAUGAAGCGUUAAUGAUGUAGUGUCGGUUGGUGCGGCGUGGCGGUUCGUUCUGGUCACAUUGUGGCUACGUGCGGAGAAGUCAUGUCGUAGUUCAAUAAUUAAUGCUAGCUUCUGACGUGAUACCUAACCUUCCGACCCGUCUUGAAACACGGACCAAGGAGGCAGAAUCUAGAGCGAGUUGGAGGGUGGAAAACCCGACGGCACAGUGAAAGCGAGAGAUGAGAUCUCGGGACCUCGGUUCCGUGAGCAUCAUCGGCCAGUCUUUAUUUGAGGACUGAGUUGGAGCUCUAGAUGCUGGACCCGAAAGAUGGUGAACUAUGCGUGAGCAGGGCGAAGUCAGGGGAAACUCUGAUGGAGGCUCGAAGCGAUUCUGACGUGCAAAUCGAUCGUUUGACUUGCGUAUAGGGGCGAUAGACUAAUCGAACCAUCUAGUAGCUGGUUCCCUUCGAAAUAUCCCUCAGGAUCGCUGAGACAAGUGGGAGACAGUUUCAUCGGGUAGAGCGAAUGAUUAGAGGAAUCGGGGAUAUAUUACUCUCGACCUAUUCUCAAACUUCCAACCGGUGAGAGUGCAGUUUACUUGGUUGAAACGGCACGUGGAAUGUCUUUGUCUCAAGUGGGCCAUUUUUGGUAAGCAGAACUGGCGAUGCGGGAUGAACCGAGAGUUGAGCUAAGGUGCCUAAGAACACGUUGAUAGAUACCACAAAAGGAGUCGGUCGAUAAAGACAGCAGGGCGGUGGCCCUGAAAGUAGGAAUCCGCUAAGGAAUUGUCUAAAAACUCACCUGCCGAAUCGACCGGCCCUGAAAAUGGAUGGCGCUGAAGCGUGUCACCGAUGCUUGACCUUUACCACGAGAGAUGUUGGUAGAGGGUAGAAGGGCGCGGCGGUAGCAGUAAAGUACAAAGUGUAAACUUGUAUGGAGCUGCCGUCGGUGUAGAUCUUGGUGGUAGUAGCAAUUAUAAAAGUGAAAACCUUUUAGGCCGAAGUGGAGAAGGGUUCCACGUGAACAGCAGUUGGACGUGGGUUAGUCGGUCCUAAGCGGUUGCCUAACGGUUUUUCCAAUGUCAACUUUAUGCUUGCAUCAAGUUGAAUUCCGCGAAAGGGAAUCAGGUUAAUAUUCCUGAACCGGGCUAUGGAGACGCUGCUAUUGGCAUUUGUUUUGGUAGCAAUAUUGAGGCAAAUGACAAUUGUAGCUUAGCGGUAACGCAAGCAAUCUCGGAGACGUUGACAUCUAUGGCGGGGAGAAUUAUCUUUUCUGCAUAACAAGUGAACUACCUUGGAAUCGAGUCAUUCGGAGAUAAGGUAAAAAGCUUGGAAGAGCACUGCAACUAUUGCAGUGUCCGCAUUGUAGGUGUCGGCCCUUGAAAAUCCGAGGGAGUGGAUAAAUUU